RNAcentral lists this transfer RNA (85 nucleotides) under Ignavibacteria bacterium. Its description in RNAcentral is "tRNA-Leu". It matches the Rfam family "tRNA". Rfam says of the family: Transfer RNA (tRNA) molecules are approximately 80 nucleotides in length. The record is from RNAcentral. Lineage: Bacteria; Pseudomonadati; Ignavibacteriota; Ignavibacteria.
GCCGGGGUGGCGGAAUGGUAGACGCACUGGACUUAAAAUCCAGUGGGAGGUUUCUCCCGUACCGGUUCGAGUCCGGUCCUCGGUA